CAGACAUCUGUUAGUUUUUGUCUGUGUGUCUUGGGUUUCUGUUUUGUCUUAUUGUGAUUUUGACGAUGGGACCGACAGUAACCACCCCCCUCAAUCUGACUUUUGACCACUGGAGGGAUGUUAAGGACCAUAGUCAGUCAAUUAAAGUUACAACACCCCCUUUCGUUGAGUCACGUGGCACCACACUAGUUUAUAAGAUCAGACAGACUGCCAGAUCCUGACAGUGAACCAAAGUCUCCAAAGAAGAUUAUGAGGCACCCCAGUUCCUGCACCUGGAUAAUGAUGACGCCAACCAGUGAGCAAGAUGCUCAAAUGUGACACCUACUGCCUGCCAGGACCUGGCCAAGAAUGUGGACAAAGCUGCUGGACACUGGAAAAUUAAUUGCACCCCCUUUGCCUAGACAAAACAAGGCUGUUCCUAAAGAACUUCGAGCCCUGGACUUGCUGUGGAUGUGAACCAGUCCAGCUGAUGUGGACACCUCCGUCUCUGCAACAGAGUCUGCCAACCAGAAGCUCCUGAUGGAUUCCCCAUUACCUAAAUUCCCUUUUUGCUUUUGACUAGCAUUUCAGCCUUCUUGGGUCCCUAACUUCGUCCCAAAGUCAGCAGAAGUAGCAUGGGAAUGAAUACAUCGCCUGUUUUCCAUGGUUGAUAUGCUAAGUCAGAAGGAACUCCCUUACAUAGGGGAUGCCAAUAUCUCUCACUCCCUGAUGGGGACGCUGGAGAGACAGCAAUUCCAUGAUUGCAAUCUCCAAAAAGAAAAUGGGGGAAGGAAGGGACCAGCUCCCCAUUUCAGCAGCCAUAACAGCCUAGAACGUGCUUGCCUGACCUUGCCUUGGUCCCUAGAAGGUCAGAUGCCUGCCUCGUGGCAAGGAAUCAAUCAGAAGUUAGCUGGUGGCGCUAUGCUUUACGGCUUUGGGUGUGCUUUACAGACAAGUGCACAGCAAUGACUUGCAGACCAUAGCAACCAUCCUGGGAGGGUCUAUGGGCCAUAACAACCAGUUGAUCAAUCAACACAGGGCAAGCCCUCCAAGCCUGGAGGCACACCAAUAGUGAGCCUGUGCGUACCCCUAGACACUCCCCUUACGCUGCCCUAUAAGAUCUCUAUGCUGUGGCUUCACAGCAUCUUUCCCAGCUGUCUGCCAUGGUGGAUAGAUGAAAGGCCCAAGCUAACAUGGGGUUAGCUUGUUA
This 1189-nucleotide long non-coding RNA is filed under the name Cricetulus griseus (Chinese hamster). RNAcentral's name for it is "lncRNA (ENSCGRG00015042301.1)". Lineage: Eukaryota; Metazoa; Chordata; Mammalia; Rodentia; Cricetidae. The record is from RNAcentral.